GCCACUGUAGCUCAGCGGUGGAGCGGCGGUUUCGUAAACCGCAGGUCGAGGGUUCGAACCCCUCCAGUGGCUCCA
Molecule: transfer RNA, 75 nt
Filed under: Methanomassiliicoccales archaeon
Lineage: Archaea; Methanobacteriati; Thermoplasmatota; Thermoplasmata; Methanomassiliicoccales
Description: tRNA-Thr
Rfam family: tRNA
About the family: Transfer RNA (tRNA) molecules are approximately 80 nucleotides in length. Their secondary structure includes four short double-helical elements and three loops (D, anti-codon, and T loops). Further hydrogen bonds mediate the characteristic L-shaped molecular structure. tRNAs have two regions of fundamental functional importance: the anti-codon, which is responsible for specific mRNA codon recognition, and the 3' end, to which the tRNAs corresponding amino acid is attached (by aminoacyl-tRNA synthetases). tRNAs cope with the degeneracy of the genetic code in two manners: having more than one tRNA (with a specific anti-codon) for a particular amino acid; and 'wobble' base-pairing, i.e. permitting non-standard base-pairing at the 3rd anti-codon position.
Source: RNAcentral